Molecule: ribosomal RNA, 910 nt
Filed under: Kocuria marina subsp. indica
Lineage: Bacteria; Bacillati; Actinomycetota; Actinomycetes; Micrococcales; Micrococcaceae
Description: bacterial SSU rRNA
Rfam family: Bacterial small subunit ribosomal RNA
Source: RNAcentral
GCGUAAAGAGCUCGUAGGCGGUUUGUCGCGUCUGCUGUGAAAGCCCGGGGCUUAACCCCGGGUGUGCAGUGGGUACGGGCAGACUUGAGUGCAGUAGGGGAGACUGGAACUCCUGGUGUAGCGGUGAAAUGCGCAGAUAUCAGGAAGAACACCGAUGGCGAAGGCAGGUCUCUGGGCUGUUACUGACGCUGAGGAGCGAAAGCAUGGGGAGCGAACAGGAUUAGAUACCCUGGUAGUCCAUGCCGUAAACGUUGGGCACUAGGUGUGGGGGACAUUCCACGUUUUCCGCGCCGUAGCUAACGCAUUAAGUGCCCCGCCUGGGGAGUACGGCCGCAAGGCUAAAACUCAAAGGAAUUGACGGGGGCCCGCACAAGCGGCGGAGCAUGCGGAUUAAUUCGAUGCAACGCGAAGAACCUUACCAAGGCUUGACAUACACCGGAUCGGCUCAGAGAUGGGUUUUCCUCCUUGUGGGGCUGGUGUACAGGUGGUGCAUGGUUGUCGUCAGCUCGUGUCGUGAGAUGUUGGGUUAAGUCCCGCAACGAGCGCAACCCUCGUUCUAUGUUGCCAGCACGUGAUGGUGGGGACUCAUAGGAGACUGCCGGGGUCAACUCGGAGGAAGGUGGGGAUGACGUCAAAUCAUCAUGCCCCUUAUGUCUUGGGCUUCACGCAUGCUACAAUGGCCAGUACAAUGGGUUGCGAUACCGUGAGGUGGAGCUAAUCCCAAAAAGCUGGUCUCAGUUCGGAUCGUGGUCUGCAACUCGACCACGUGAAGUCGGAGUCGCUAGUAAUCGCAGAUCAGCAACGCUGCGGUGAAUACGUUCCCGGGCCUUGUACACACCGCCCGUCAAGUCACGAAAGUUGGUAACACCCGAAGCCGGUGGCCUAACCCUUGGGGGGAGCCUCGAAGGGG